GGAUGAAUCUUGGACAAUGGGGGCAACCCGUGAUCCAGCCAUGCCGCGUGAACGAUGAAGGCCUUAGGGUUGUAAAGUUCUUUCAACGGUGAAGAUAAUGACGGUAGCCGUAGAAGAAACCCGGCUACUCCGUGCCAGCAGCCGCGGUAAUACGGAGGGGGUUAGCGUUGUUCGGAAUUACUGGGCGUAAAGCGCACGUAGGCGGACUAUUAAGUCAGGGGUGAAAUCCCGGGGCUCAACCCCGGAACUGCCUUUGAUACUGGUAGUCUAGAGUUCGAGAGAGGUGAGUGGAAUUCCGAGUGUAGAGGUGAAAUUCGUAGAUAUUCGGAGGAACACCAGUGGCGAAGGCGGCUCACUUGGCUCGAUACUGACGCUGAGGUGCGAAAGCGUGGGGAGCAAAC
This 401-nucleotide ribosomal RNA is filed under the name uncultured Rhodovulum sp. RNAcentral describes it as "bacterial SSU rRNA". It matches the Rfam family "Bacterial small subunit ribosomal RNA", at positions 355 to 773 of the family's 1533-position model. The record is from RNAcentral. Lineage: Bacteria; Pseudomonadati; Pseudomonadota; Alphaproteobacteria; Rhodobacterales; Paracoccaceae.